RNAcentral lists this long non-coding RNA (664 nucleotides) under Equus caballus (horse). Its description in RNAcentral is "lncRNA (ENSECAG00000054980.1)". Lineage: Eukaryota; Metazoa; Chordata; Mammalia; Perissodactyla; Equidae. The record is from RNAcentral.
CGCGGAGGGAGAUUGGCGGCCCCGGCUGGGGAAAUUGAGCCUGGCGCCGGCCCCGGACGCGGAAAGAGAGAGAAGGGGGGAUCCCAGACUUCGGCUUCCCGAGAUACCUCACAAGGCUCUAAGCAGUUCGUGUAAACACAAAGGUUGUGCGCAAAUCACACUUGAAAUACAUCAGAGACACCCCCACCCCCUCCCCCAGAACUCCCAACUGUCUGCGAGUCAGAAAAGGACCCGAUCAAACUCAGGACGACAGGCGCUUCACCUCUCCAGGUAUUUUGUAGAGGAGGGCGAAAGCAGGCAAGGAGCACGACUCCGCCAAAGUUCUGUGUUUUGUCUGCGGUGGUGCCCAUUGGUUUGGCCUUUUACAAACCAAGUGGCCGGCCUCAGCCUCGCGGUCGGGACUGCCACAUUCGCAAAGUGCGAUCUCUCAAAGCCGGAGCAGGCUGCAGCCUCUUUCCAGCGGCAACUCUGCUGACGUUCUGACUCGGCGGGGAGGUGAAGAGCAGAACGCGAAAGCAGUUGCCCUGUCACUGAGGAGCGUGGCGGGGUGGGGGCUCGGGGCACUGGAGAAAGACUUGUCAGAGUUCAAGGUCGGUGUGGCGCGGGACGGCUCCUGCUAGCGCGGGGCCGCGGCGUCACGGCCGCCGCCGCCAGCCUUCGCGGG